This 72-nucleotide transfer RNA is filed under the name Actinomycetota bacterium. Its description in RNAcentral is "tRNA-Arg". It matches the Rfam family "tRNA". Rfam says of the family: Transfer RNA (tRNA) molecules are approximately 80 nucleotides in length. Their secondary structure includes four short double-helical elements and three loops (D, anti-codon, and T loops). Further hydrogen bonds mediate the characteristic L-shaped molecular structure. tRNAs have two regions of fundamental functional importance: the anti-codon, which is responsible for specific mRNA codon recognition, and the 3' end, to which the tRNAs corresponding amino acid is attached (by aminoacyl-tRNA synthetases). tRNAs cope with the degeneracy of the genetic code in two manners: having more than one tRNA (with a specific anti-codon) for a particular amino acid; and 'wobble' base-pairing, i.e. permitting non-standard base-pairing at the 3rd anti-codon position. The record is from RNAcentral. Lineage: Bacteria; Bacillati; Actinomycetota.
GCCCCCGUAGCUCAGUGGAUAGAGCGUCGGUUUCCUAAACCGUGUGCACAAGUUCGAUUCUUGUCGGGGGCA